UUUUUGCAGGUCUGCCUGUCAGUUGGGGAUGGAGGUCGACAUAUAUAGUAGUCUCCGUAGCAACAAGUAGUAAUGUUAUUCCUUUACCCUACUUGGUCAUAGCACGGUAGUGGGAGCUGCCAGCUUCACAUGUUUUAACUCUGUCAGAGCACUUUGAAAAAGUGAUCUGUGGUAUCUGGAAAGCGGAUGUUGCGUGUGAAGAUUACAGACAGCUUUAUCCAAGGAGAUCCGGCUCUUGAAGUUGGGAAAGUGUUGCCUCUUCGGUUUUCGAACAAGCAAUCCUAUCGGGGAUCUGACUCUCGAGAUUCGAAGAACGAUGCCUCUUCGAUUUUUGAGAAAGCAAUCAUGCUGGGGGUCUGGCUCUCGAGAUUCGGAGAGCGGUGUCUCUUUGAUUUUUGAGAAAGUAAUCAUGUUGGGAGUCUGGCUCUCAAGAUUCGGAGGGUGGUGCCUCUUCGAUUUUGG
This 462-nucleotide long non-coding RNA is filed under the name Malus domestica (apple). Its description in RNAcentral is "long non-coding RNA (MDOM_LNC018887)". The record is from RNAcentral. Lineage: Eukaryota; Viridiplantae; Streptophyta; Magnoliopsida; Rosales; Rosaceae.